CGGGGCCAGGGUCUCGGUCCUCUCGCUUGCGGGAUGGCACAAUUGGCUCAGUCCCAGAGUCUUGGCGCGGUUGAGCUCCUCCCGGGCGACAGAGCCUCUCUACUUUUCACGUCGUGCCACCGCAAGAUAGCCAGUUCCUCCCUAUGGCGACCGCCUGGCUCUGCUAGACAAGCUGACUGCGUAUUCCCACCAGGACAUAUUUCAAGCUACCAACAUGUCACCAAAUGCAGAAUUGAGAAUCAAGCCAUGGAUUCUGUUCUCUCCAACCUGUAAGAAGCAGUUCCAGCACUGGAUUAUAAACCCAUCCAGGGAACCUCCAAGGCUGCCCUAUAAUCUCAACAGUUCCUUGGCAUCUUGACGAUGUAACUCGAG
This 372-nucleotide long non-coding RNA is filed under the name Cricetulus griseus (Chinese hamster). RNAcentral describes it as "lncRNA (ENSCGRG00015033227.1)". Lineage: Eukaryota; Metazoa; Chordata; Mammalia; Rodentia; Cricetidae. The record is from RNAcentral.